AACGCACAUUGCGCCCCUUGGUAUUCCGAGGGGCAUGCCUGUUCGAGCGUCAUUACAACCCUCAAGCAUUGCUUGGUAUUGGGCUCCGCUGCUUACCCAGCGGGCCUUAAAAUCAGUGGCGGUGCCGUCGAGGCCCUGAGCGUAGUAAAUAUCCUCGCUAUAGGGACUCGGUGGACGCUGGCUAUCAACCCCCAACUUUCUAAGUUUGACCUCGGAUCAGGUAGGGAUACCCGCUGAACUUAA
RNAcentral lists this unclassified non-coding RNA (243 nucleotides) under uncultured fungus. RNAcentral's name for it is "sequence contains ITS2". The stretch from base 1 to 52 matches the Rfam family "5.8S ribosomal RNA", at positions 103 to 154 of the family's 154-position model. Lineage: Eukaryota; Fungi. The record is from RNAcentral.